UACGGAGGGGGCAAGCGUUGUUCGGAAUUACUGGGCGUAAAGGGCGCGCAGGCGGCUGCUCAAGUCAGGCGUGAAAGGCCUGGGCUCAACCCGGGAAUUGCGCUUGAGACUGGGCUGGCUUGAGUGCGGGAGAGGAUGGUGGAAUUCCCAGUGUAGAGGUGAAAUUCGUAGAUAUUGGGAAGAACACCGAUGGCGAAGGCGGCCAUCUGGACCGCAACUGACGCUGAGGCGCGAAAGCGUGGGGAGCAAACAGG
This 254-nucleotide ribosomal RNA is filed under the name uncultured bacterium. Its description in RNAcentral is "partial 16S ribosomal RNA". It matches the Rfam family "Bacterial small subunit ribosomal RNA", at positions 524 to 776 of the family's 1533-position model. The record is from RNAcentral.